This 72-nucleotide transfer RNA is filed under the name Rodentolepis nana. RNAcentral's name for it is "Hymenolepis nana tRNA". It matches the Rfam family "tRNA". Rfam says of the family: Transfer RNA (tRNA) molecules are approximately 80 nucleotides in length. The record is from Rfam by way of RNAcentral. Lineage: Eukaryota; Metazoa; Platyhelminthes; Cestoda; Cyclophyllidea; Hymenolepididae.
UCCCUGAUGGUGCAGCGGUUAAUAUUCCUGGUUUUCACACAGGCGGCCCGAGUUCAACUCUUUGUCAGGGAG